UGGGGAAUAUUGGACAAUGGGCGCAAGCCUGAUCCAGCUAUGCCGCGUGGAUGAAGAAGGCCUUCGGGUUGUAAAGUCCCUUCGUUGGUGAAGAUAAUGACGGUAACCAAAGAAGAAGCCCCGGCUAAUUUCGUGCCAGCAGCCGCGGUAAUACGAAAGGGGCUAGCGUUGUUCGGAAUUACUGGGCGUAAAGCGCACGUAGGCGGCCUUGUAAGAUGGGGGUGAAAUCCCUGGGCUCAACCCAGGAACUGCCUUCAUGACUGCAAAGCUCGAGGAUGUGAGAGGUUGGCGGAAUUCCGAGUGUAGAGGUGAAAUUCGUAGAUAUUCGGAAGAACACCAGUGGCGAAGGCGGCCAACUGGGCACAUUCUGACGCUGAGGUGCGAAAGCGUGGGGAGCAAACAGGAUUGGAUACCCUGGUAGUCCACGCCAUAAACGAUGGGGGCUAGUUGUCGGCGCGCUUGCGCGUCGGUGACGCAGCUAACGCUUUAAG
This 491-nucleotide ribosomal RNA is filed under the name uncultured Pseudomonadota bacterium. RNAcentral describes it as "bacterial SSU rRNA". It matches the Rfam family "Bacterial small subunit ribosomal RNA", at positions 355 to 864 of the family's 1533-position model. The record is from RNAcentral. Lineage: Bacteria; Pseudomonadati; Pseudomonadota.